Molecule: unclassified non-coding RNA, 303 nt
Filed under: plant metagenome
Description: partial contains 5.8S ribosomal RNA, internal transcribed spacer 2, and large subunit ribosomal RNA
Rfam family: 5.8S ribosomal RNA (bases 1-105)
Source: RNAcentral
AAAAUGCGAUAAGUAAUGUGAAUUGCAGAAUUCAGUGAAUCAUCGAAUCUUUGAACGCACAUUGCGCCCGCCAGUAUUCUAGUGGGCAUGCCUGUUCGAGCGUCAUUUCAACCCUUAAGCUUUGCUUAGUAUUGGGAGACUGCCUAAUUAGCAGCUCCUCAAAGUCAGUGGCAGAGUCUAGGUGUGCUCUGAGCGUAGUAAUUCAUUAUCUCGCUUCUGUAAGCCGCCUAUGCGCUAGCCAUAAGCCUUAUAUUUUCUAAUGGUUGACCUCGGAUCAGGUAGGAAUACCCGCUGAACUUAAGC